Triticum dicoccoides is the source of this 421-nucleotide long non-coding RNA. RefSeq lists it as uncharacterized. The transcript has 3 exons. The record is from RefSeq and is a predicted model, not a curated record. NCBI's taxonomy places the organism in Eukaryota, Viridiplantae, Streptophyta, Magnoliopsida, Poales, Poaceae.
CUUGCUUAAGCACCAGCAUGGUGGGGACUUUCAAAGGUUGCCGCCGAUGGCGAGUCCAAACCAGAUGCAUCAUCAUCCGCCACCCCCAAUGCCUAAUUUCUGUCGAAAUGGUUUUGGCCCAUGGAACCACAGUGCGCAUCCAGAGGGGGCGCCUGCGUUGAAGCCAUAGACCACGGCAGCGCAGGCUUGCAGGGGGCGGCGGCCAUGGCGGGGAGGCGGCGUUGCGCUCGAGCGCUACAUCAGGCGGCGGCAGCGAGGCGGGAGGCGCGUGCGGAGAAUGCAUCAAAUGUUUGAUGAAUUGCUUGAAGAAAAUGCAUCGGGUCCUUUCUUGCAUGCUUCAAGUCUUCAACCAGAUUGUCUUUGAGAAUAAUUUGAUGAACCACCAUGUCGCCCUUCAAUACAUUUCUAGAGCUGAAAUUUC